AUUGAACGCUGGCGGCAGGCCUAACACAUGCAAGUCGAACGGUAACAGAAAGCAGCUUGCUGCUUUGCUGACGAGUGGCGGACGGGUGAGUAAUGUCUGGGAAACUGCCUGAUGGAGGGGGAUAACUACUGGAAACGGUAGCUAAUACCGCAUAACGUCGCAAGACCAAAGAGGGGGACCUUCGGGCCUCUUGCCAUCGGAUGUGCCCAGAUGGGAUUAGCUAGUAGGCGGGGUAACGGCUCACCUAGGCGACGAUCCCUAGCUGGUCUGGGAGGAUGACCAGCCACACUGGAACUGAGACACGGUCCAGACUCCUACGGGAGGCAGCAGUGGGGAAUAUUGCACAAUGGGCGCAAGCCUGAUGCAGCCAUGCCGCGUGUAUGAAGAAGGCCUUCGGGUUGUAAAGUACUUUCAGCGGGGAGGAAGGGAGUAAAGUUAAUACCUUUGCUCAUUGACGUUACCCGCAGAAGAAGCACCGGCUAACUCCGUG
This 490-nucleotide ribosomal RNA is filed under the name uncultured bacterium. RNAcentral's name for it is "partial 16S ribosomal RNA". It matches the Rfam family "Bacterial small subunit ribosomal RNA", at positions 30 to 507 of the family's 1533-position model. The record is from RNAcentral.